AUGCCGCGUGUGUGAAGUGUGACGUUACUGACAGAAGAAGCACCGGCUAACUCCGUGCCAGCAGCCGCGGUAAUACGGAGGGUGCGAGCGUUAAUCGGAAUUACUGGGCGUAAAGCGUACGCAGGCGGUUUGUUAAGCGAGAUGUGAAAGCCCCGGGCUCAACCUGGGAACUGCAUUUCGAACUGGCAAACUAGAGUGUGAUAGAGGGUGGUAAAUUUCAGGUGUAGCGGUGAAAUGCGUAAGAUCUGAAGGAAUACCGAUGGCGAAGGCAGCCACCUGGGUCAACACUGACGCUCAUGUACGAAAGCGUGGGGAGCAAACGGGAUUAGAUACCCCGGUAGUCCACGCCGUAAACGAUGUCUACUAGAAGCUCGGUUCCUCGGAACUGUUUUUCAAAGCUAACGCAUUAAGUACGACCGCCUGGGGAGUACGGCCGCAAGGUUAACAACUCAAAUGAAUUGACGGGGGCCCGCACAAGCGGUGGAGCAUGUGGUUUAAUUCGAUGCAACGCGAAGAACCUUACCUACACUUGACAUACUGAGAACUUA
Molecule: ribosomal RNA, 548 nt
Filed under: Pseudoalteromonas sp. UST050418-022
Lineage: Bacteria; Pseudomonadati; Pseudomonadota; Gammaproteobacteria; Alteromonadales; Pseudoalteromonadaceae
Description: bacterial SSU rRNA
Rfam family: Bacterial small subunit ribosomal RNA
Source: RNAcentral